This 681-nucleotide long non-coding RNA is filed under the name Lathyrus oleraceus (garden pea). RNAcentral describes it as "Pisum sativum (pea) long non-coding RNA (PSAT_LNC003192)". The record is from RNAcentral. Lineage: Eukaryota; Viridiplantae; Streptophyta; Magnoliopsida; Fabales; Fabaceae.
UAACUACCCCUACUUUGUGCCGUAAAAAUCAUUCAGUAUUACAAAAAAAAAAUAAUAUAAAGACUUUUAUGUAUAAUAUAUCAUUUGAAAUUUUUUACUAUUUUCUAUUGUUUACAUCAAUGAUGCUGUUGAUUCAUAAAAUAGUAAAAUCACAUAAUUUUGUUUGUAUUGGAAAAUAUACUGCAAGAUAGAUAAUUAUUCGUCACUAAAACAUUUCUCUUAUGCUGUCUGUUCCUCUUGUCAUGUCAAGAACAAUAUUUACUCUACACAUGAAUUAUAAUCUUAGAAUUAUUUUUUACUUAACUAGUGAAUGCAAAAACAUUCACGGUUCAGGCAUACUGGUGUUCCAUGACGUAGGAUACAGUGAGUAAAACAAUCAUAGAAGUAUCUACAAUUGGAAUCUGUGAUUCAAAACAAGAAUAAUUGAGUGAUAUCAAAAAUGGUUAACAAAUAAUAUACUAAUUCAAGAAGAAAACACUUGAAAAUGGUGAGAAGAAAAAGCUUACCUUUAUCAGCAUUUGAUGGAACAAGAAAUAGAGAAAGGAAAAUUAUGAGAGCAUAAACAAACUUUAAAAUUUUAGUCAUUUGUAUUUGUAUGUAACAAAGAAAAACAAAACACAAUUCAAUCACUUUAUUUUUUUAUCGGACAAUUCUAUCACUUUAUAUAGUGUAAGAAAAUCU